CAGCUACUACGUGACACAGAGCACGAGUCCCCCAUGACAGGUGCUGCAGGGCCUCUUGGGUCUGGCCACACCGAGCCCUGCAACAACUCUUACCAGAGCCCAAACACUUUUUGAGGACUUUGGGGAAAGCAGGAAGGCCGGACAGCAGUACCUACAGGGGCCAAUGGAUCCAAGGAGAAGGCCCAGCGAAAGGAAGGACCCAGCAGCUCCCCCUUGCCAGCGCUGGAGACCCUGGCUCUGGGGCCCAGUCCCAGCCCUAGUCCAGCAGCGACGGACAGUGCAUCAGUCAAGGGCACUGCUCACCUCCCUCCGGACCCAACCGCCAUGAAGGCCAAAGCCGAGCCCCCAUGCAGGCCAGCUCACGUCCCAUUCUGCCAUGUCUCGGGCUGGAGCGAAUUGUAUUGAUAGAAAAUAAAAUGUCGACAUAAAAAAGAAU
RNAcentral lists this long non-coding RNA (436 nucleotides) under Homo sapiens (human). Its description in RNAcentral is "HSALNT0269894". Lineage: Eukaryota; Metazoa; Chordata; Mammalia; Primates; Hominidae. The record is from RNAcentral.